GGGCCCGCACAAGCGGAGGAACAUGUGGUUUAAUUCGAUGAUACGCGAGGAACCUUACCUGGGCUUAAAUGUAGAGUGCAUGAGGUAGAAAUACUUCUUUUCUUCGGAACUCUCUGCAAGGUGCUGCAUGGUUGUCGUCAGCUCGUGCCGUGAGGUGUCGGGUUAAGUCCCAUAACGAGCGCAACCCUUAUCGUUAGUUGCCAGCGGGUAAUGCCGGGGACUCUAGCGAAACUGCCGGUGUAAACCGAGAGGAAGGUGGGGAUGACGUCAAAUCAGCACGGCCCUUAUGUCCAGGGCUACACACGUGUUACAAUGGCCGGUACAGAGGGCAGCUACCUGGAGACAGGAUGCGAAUCUCGAAAGCCGGUCUCAGUUCGGAUCGGAGUCUGCAACUCGACUCCGUGAAGCUGGAUUCGCUAGUAAUCGCGCAUCAGCCAUGGCGCGGUGAAUACGUUCCCGGGCCUU
RNAcentral lists this ribosomal RNA (465 nucleotides) under uncultured bacterium. Its description in RNAcentral is "bacterial SSU rRNA". It matches the Rfam family "Bacterial small subunit ribosomal RNA", at positions 917 to 1382 of the family's 1533-position model. The record is from RNAcentral.